RNAcentral lists this ribosomal RNA (301 nucleotides) under uncultured bacterium. RNAcentral's name for it is "partial 16S ribosomal RNA". It matches the Rfam family "Bacterial small subunit ribosomal RNA", at positions 509 to 807 of the family's 1533-position model. The record is from RNAcentral.
CAGUAGCCACGGUAAUACGAAGGGGGCUAGCGUUGUUCGGAAUCACUGGGCGUAAAGCGCACGUAGGCGGACUUCUAAGUCAGGGGUGAAAUCCCGGGGCUCAACCCCGGAACUGCCUUUGAUACUGGGAGUCUUGAGUUCGAGAGAGGUGAGUGGAAUUGCGAGUGUAGAGGUGAAAUUCGUAGAUAUUCGCAGGAACACCAGUGGCGAAGGCGGCUCACUGGCUCGAUACUGACGCUGAGGUGCGAAAGCGUGGGGAGCAAACAGGAUUAGAUACCCCCGUAGUCCCUGUCUCUUAUAC